CCGAGCCGCGGUACACAUCAUCAGAGAACUUUGGCGGAUUGUCGUUCUCGUCAGUCACUGUCACCUCCACCAGGACGCUGGACGACAGCUUGAUGUCGCCGCCGUGGUCUAUGGCGACCACGUUAAACCUGUAAACCCUGGUUGCCUCACAGUCCGUCUCCUGUAUUGUGGUGAUCCAGCCGCUGUCUCCAUCGAUGGAGAAUACCUCUCUGAUGUCCGCUGUGGUGUCAUCAGGUGUCAUCAUCGUGGCCUUGAACCCCCUUCAGUGGCGCUAAAUAGUCGACAUUCACAAUGCUGUGGUUGUACGGGGCAGAUCCCAGCAGUCAACAUUAGAAAACAUUGGCAGCUCUCAGGGCCUUGACUCGGAUGACCUCGGAGCCUGUAGGUGCCAGGUUGGAGAUGCUGGCCUCGUAGUGGGGGCUUAGGAAAGCCGGAGAGUGGUCAUUACAGUCCUCCACAUGAACCACCACCUUCACAAAAUUUCUCUUCACUGGGAUCUCCUGGUCACGCACCUAAGGAGGAGUAAAGUAAUGACUCCACUCUUUGGGUCCAGAUGGAAGAACUUGGUGCUGUCUGGAUGUAGGCUGCUGUGGAUGGAGUACACCAGUUUACUGUUGGUGUCGGCGUCGUGCGCACUGAUUUGCAGGAUGUCUUUCCAAGGGGAAGUAUCCUCAGGAACCCUCACCUUAAACACACAGGAACAGAUGGUGGAAUAUUUAUUUUUUUAAGUAAUGGCAGAAAACAACAGGGUUUGAAAACUGGAUGGGAAAUUGAAUUCCUGAGCUCUGACAUUUCUAAACAUUUUGAGGAGAAGAACUUGAGACAGGAUCAGAGAGUGUGUUGGAUGUCCUGAUAAGCACAAUAAAGGAUGCCUGCUGUGGGUUUUGUGAUUCUCAA
Molecule: long non-coding RNA, 897 nt
Organism: Micropterus dolomieu (smallmouth bass)
Lineage: Eukaryota; Metazoa; Chordata; Actinopteri; Centrarchiformes; Centrarchidae
Exons: 4
Source: RefSeq, a predicted model, not a curated record